Molecule: ribosomal RNA, 253 nt
Filed under: uncultured bacterium
Lineage: Bacteria
Description: partial 16S ribosomal RNA
Rfam family: Bacterial small subunit ribosomal RNA
Source: RNAcentral
UACGAAGGGGGCUAGCGUUGCUCGGAAUCACUGGGCGUAAAGGGUGCGUAGGCGGGUCUUUAAGUCAGAGGUGAAAUCCUGGAGCUCAACUCCAGAACUGCCUUUGAUACUGAAGAUCUUGAGUUCGGGAGAGGUGAGUGGAGCUGCGAGUGUAGAGGUGAAAUUCGUAGAUAUUCGCAAGAACACCAGUGGCGAAGGCGGCUCACUGGCCCGAUACUGACGCUGAGGCACGGAAGCGUGGGGAGCAAACAGG